UACAUGGGGUGCAAACGUUGCUCGGAAUUAUUGGGCGUAAAGCGCACGUAGGCGGUUUGUUAAGUCGGAUGUGAAAUCCCUCGGCUCAACUGAGGAAGUGCAUCCGAAACUGGCAAGCUUGAGUACGAAAGAGGGUCGCGGAAUUCCCGGUGUAGAGGUGAAAUUCGUAGAUAUCGGGAGGAACACCGGUGGCGAAGGCGGCGACCUGGUCCAUUACUGACGCUGAGGCGCGACAGCGUGGGGAGCAAACAGG
Molecule: ribosomal RNA, 253 nt
Filed under: uncultured bacterium
Lineage: Bacteria
Description: partial 16S ribosomal RNA
Rfam family: Bacterial small subunit ribosomal RNA
Source: RNAcentral